GUAUUGAAUGGAAGAAAUCCUGGUGAGUAAUGAACCAGUUCAAGUUACAGCAUCAGAAAUCUAGUAAAAUAAAUAAUUUCAAGAAGCAAAGUCAUCAUUUGCAUUUCUGAAUCAGAUUUCUGGUUAUGACAAAUGGCGUAGGAAUCAAUUGCUAAUUAAAUAGUGUUGUCAAUAAUGGGUUACAAGUACUGGUUGUCUUUUAGUUUUCAUCCUUUUUUUGUUCUCUUUUUUAAGUUACCAUUCUUGUUGGUGGCUUCUAUUCAGAAAAUUAAUAGGCACAAUAAGAUGUUAUGAACUAGCUAUUGGCAAGACACAAGAGAUGCUCUACAAUAAAAUUCAUAGAGGGGUUGAUAUUGGGCCACAAACAUGAUGCAGACUUGAAUGAUUUAUUGUUGUGUUUGCUAAUUGUUUCUCAUCUAAUCCCUUUUAAUGUGGGUGUUAUUGUAAUAUUGACUGUUACUGUCUUGAAACUUUUCUUGCUGCUACUGUCAAAGGUCCACAUCUGAUCCAAGGAAUU
This 517-nucleotide unclassified non-coding RNA is filed under the name Hevea brasiliensis (rubber tree). Lineage: Eukaryota; Viridiplantae; Streptophyta; Magnoliopsida; Malpighiales; Euphorbiaceae. The record is from RNAcentral.